Oreochromis aureus is the source of this 1022-nucleotide long non-coding RNA. NCBI's taxonomy places the organism in Eukaryota, Metazoa, Chordata, Actinopteri, Cichliformes, Cichlidae. The record is from Ensembl.
GAUAUUCAGCUGAAGAAAAGAGUUGGGUACAUUCUCGGUCAGUCAGUUGGCAGAAGAGGUAACCCACCUCAGCCUGCACGUGUGCAGAUGGCUUUGGACAAGGAGAAAUGGCACACCAACAAGCCCACUGUCAAUGCCAUCUUGCAGGCCUGGGUUGCUCCGCAGCCCAGUAUACAAGACAACGAGUCCCUCAUGUCUUCGAUUGCAGAGCAGAAGUGGAAGGGCCUGGCUUUGCAAGACUUCGGGGAACGGAAGGGCAAAGGUGUGAUCGCACUUAUGCCUUUCCACAAAGGGGAUAUCGUGUGCGAUUACCACGGGACAUACAUCAGUGAAGCAGAAGGGAAACGGAGGCCCCAGUCGGGGUAUCUGUUCUUCUUCAGGGACGAGUGUGACCGAGGUAUGUGCAUCGAUGCCACUGCAUUCCCCUGUGCCUGUCAUCCCGACAUUGAAACCUAUGGAAGGCGAAUGAACCAUUCCCGGAAAAAUCCCAACAUCAAGCCCCAGAAGUUUACAAUGAACUUCCCUGCAGGACCUCAGGAGACAAUACUUUUCAUCGCCUUGAAGGACAUCACAGUUGGUGAGGAGCUUUUAUGGGACUACGGAGUAACUCGGAAAUCUUAUGGUGGUGAAGGGGAAGACUUGGAGUGGCUGGACAGCUGACUUUGAUUUUAUCUGUUCUUUUCCUCUUCUCUUUGCUUGGGUUUUUUUAUGGAGUGAUUUUAAUCUUCCCGGAGAUGGCAGUAAUUUGUUUUAAAAAAAAAAAACAAACAGCUGUUUUUACAUUGUAUUGCCAGUCAUUUAAAUGUGGUUUGAGGGUUUGUUUUGUUUUGUUUUGCUUUAAUUUACGUAUUGAAAUAAAAAGUGUCAUGUUUCCAAACUUCACUCUGCUUCAUAUUGUAUUAUAUAGGUUCACCGUUUCGUGUUUUAUUGUCAAAGUCUUGUGUUUCCAUGUUCAGGUGUCUUGUUUUGCUUCCCCUGUGACUCCAUUUUAAUUUCUCAUCUGUGUUCCCCAUGUCAUGACG